GCCGAAGUGGUGAAAUUGGUAGACGCAGUGGACUCAAAAUCCACCGGGCUUUUGGUCCAUGCCGGUUCAAAUCCGGCCUUCGGCACCA
RNAcentral lists this transfer RNA (88 nucleotides) under Candidatus Cloacimonadota bacterium. RNAcentral's name for it is "Candidatus Cloacimonetes bacterium tRNA-Leu". It matches the Rfam family "tRNA". From Rfam's summary of the family: Transfer RNA (tRNA) molecules are approximately 80 nucleotides in length. Their secondary structure includes four short double-helical elements and three loops (D, anti-codon, and T loops). RNAcentral also lists the same sequence under 1 other name. The record is from RNAcentral. Lineage: Bacteria; Pseudomonadati; Candidatus Cloacimonadota.